This 207-nucleotide ribosomal RNA is filed under the name uncultured bacterium. Its description in RNAcentral is "partial 16S ribosomal RNA". It matches the Rfam family "Bacterial small subunit ribosomal RNA", at positions 923 to 1138 of the family's 1533-position model. The record is from RNAcentral.
GCACAAGCAGUGGAGUAUGUGGUUUAAUUCGACGCAACGCGAAGAACCUUACCAAGUCUUGACAUCCCUUGACAGACAUAGAAAUAUGUAAUCUCUUCGGAGCAAGGAGACAGGUGGUGCAUGGUUGUCGUCAGCUCGUGUCGUGAGAUGUUGGGUUAAGUCCCGCAACGAGCGCAACCCUUAUGGUCAGUUACUACGCAAGAGGAC